GUCUGGUUCUACACACACUACUUACAUGGCGGCUGUGAGCUACAGGGAGGCAUCUCUUCUCUCACCACGAUGUGUUAUCGGGACACUGGAGAGGGUUGCCAUGGCUGCUGUAUUUUAUUGCUCACAGCUGUGCAAACUCAUUUUGGCCAGAAAAUUCUCCCGUCUAACCUCUCCUUUCAUUGGUUUGCACAAUCUCAGACAGUGUGGAUUAAAACAACAACAACAACAACAACAACUUAAGGAAAAGUUAUGUUCUUAAGGCAAACCAAAC
Molecule: long non-coding RNA, 271 nt
Filed under: Mustela putorius furo (domestic ferret)
Lineage: Eukaryota; Metazoa; Chordata; Mammalia; Carnivora; Mustelidae
Description: lncRNA (ENSMPUG00000026481.1)
Source: RNAcentral